CGUCUAUAUACGUAUAGCAUAUCAAUAAGCGGAGGAAAAGAAACUAACAAGGAUUCCCUUAGUAACGGCGAGUGAAGCGGGAAGAGCUCAAAUUUGAAAUCUUCAAGGUUCUACCUUGACGAAUUGUAGUUUAAAGAAGUGUUUUCUGUUAGAGGAGUAGGCAAAAGUUCCUUGGAAUGGGACAUCAUAGAGGGUGAGAAUCCCGUAUUUGGUUAUUCUUUCUAGCUUUGUGAUACACUUUCAAAGAGUCGGAUUGUUUGGGAAUGCAGUCCAAAAUGGGUGGUAAAUUUCAUCUAAAGCUAAAUAUUGGCGAGAGACCGAUAGCGAACAAGUACCGUGAGGGAAAGAUGAAAAGAACUUUGAAAAGAGAGUUAAACAGUACGUGAAAUUGUCAAAAGGGAAGCGUUUGACACCAGUGUUGUUUUUCCGAAAAUCAAUUAAGAGUGGCUUGAUUUUGUGUUGUAUUGACCUUAUCAGCUUUCUUCACUCUUUUUCGAGUCUUUCUUAAUGCACUUUUCGGUUAACAAGUCAACAUCAAUUUCUUUUGUUGUAAAAGGGUAUUUGGAAGGUGGCUUUCUUUUCGGAGAAAGUGUUUAUAGCCUUAUACCUCUACAAUCGGAGAGAUUGAGGUCUGCAGCGUAGAUCCUUCGGGGCUAGAUACACUUGUGCUAAGUUAUAGCUUUUCAUAGACAACUUGUUGACUAUGUUUAGUCAUGUAGCUUACCCGCUUGUGCUAUUUUACCUACGCUUAGGAUGUUGAGUCAUCACACAUCUCU
RNAcentral lists this ribosomal RNA (776 nucleotides) under uncultured Neocallimastigales. RNAcentral's name for it is "partial large subunit ribosomal RNA". It matches the Rfam family "Eukaryotic large subunit ribosomal RNA", at positions 26 to 618 of the family's 3401-position model. Lineage: Eukaryota; Fungi; Neocallimastigomycota; Neocallimastigomycetes; Neocallimastigales. The record is from RNAcentral.